GUCCAUGUGAAUUCUCAAUAAUUCUAUGCAUUAUAUUAAAAUCGGGAUGGCUCAACCGGUCAUGCCAAAUGAUAAAAUCAUUACGAUCUGUAAACCUUUUAUUUACUAUGGCAUGUGAUUCAACCAUAUAAAUACUUGUAUGAUACAAUCCAGAAGAAAGUGCAGGUAAUUUUUUAUGCACAAAUUUUUCUCCAUCUUUUAUUGUAGUAAUAUAAAGAUAGUCAAUCUUUCCUUCAUUUGCAGUCUCAAUGUGAUAGCCAUUUUGGUGAAUAACCUUGAAACGUAACAAGUUUCUUUGAGACUUGCUAUACUAUAAUGCAUUAUCAAUGGCCAAUAUUGUUUCCCCGGGUAGUAAUAAAGUCGCUCUUCCAGAGCCCCGAAUUAACUUUGUACUACCGAAUAUUGUAUUAACAUGAGUCAUUUUCAUAAUUAAAUUAGAAAAAUAUUUCUUUUCUCUUAAUAUAGUGUGAUUUGUAGCACUAUCAAGAAGACACACAUCUCUAUUACUCAUCUUGGAUCCAGUUGAAGAUUGAGAAAAUUUUAUUAUCUGAUGGAUUGAAAACUUGAAAAAGAGUAGAGUCGUGCUGAUAACGUAUUGUAAAUAAAUAUUCUGAAAUAUACUAAAAUGAAAGGGGAGGGAAGAGAGACCUAUAGAUAUAAGAAAAU
RNAcentral lists this long non-coding RNA (666 nucleotides) under Capsicum annuum. RNAcentral describes it as "long non-coding RNA (CANN_LNC002301)". Lineage: Eukaryota; Viridiplantae; Streptophyta; Magnoliopsida; Solanales; Solanaceae. The record is from RNAcentral.